AUAAGCUUCUCACUCUAAACUCCU
Molecule: microRNA, 24 nt
Filed under: Prunus persica (peach)
Lineage: Eukaryota; Viridiplantae; Streptophyta; Magnoliopsida; Rosales; Rosaceae
Description: microRNA miRNA_42
Source: RNAcentral